AUUGGAUCCGAAGAUCACUAAAAAUUGGGUGGAUGAAAUGGUUAGAUGCAAAAUACCAAAGGGGAAACGAGAUGUGGUUCGAUCCCGAUCGGUACCAAAUGAGUUCGUAAUGUAAUUUCCGGUUUCAAAAACCCAAAACUCGUUAAUCUGAGGAUUCACAGUCUCCCUGUUCAACCAUUUCAAGUUACUCAGUGGAAGAAGUUAGAGUGUGCUUGGUAGUGUCGUGAUUUCGUUGAGGGUUAGCGCAAUUAGGAGAUCAGUGAAUGUGUGGAGACUUUGCGGGCAAGUGCGAGGAAACAGAGAGCCGUGCGACGGCUUUUAAUUCCAGAUUUUGCGCCUGGCGAAGCUACCACCGCACCGCCAGCAAAGAUCAUCCCACCUCCUGCCACCACACUCUGGAUUCAAGUUUCCAAUCGAGGAAUUGCGUCAGUUGCAGCAAAAACUCGGACAAAAAAGCGCCGCCACGUGCGUAAUGCGGCAUUACUAAACGCCGUCAACCGGAUCCCUAACAUCCGUAUUUUGAUGCUGGUACGCUGUCCGGAGGUCGGACACUACCAGCAGUUAACUUAAACCUGUGCUAGGACCUCAACAACAGCCUUGGCGCUAGAAAGCGCAAAACAGCCGUUCCGUCGCUGAAUCGUAAUCGUCGAAUUUGGUACAAGCAGCGGGUCACCAGCAGUCGUCGCCGUUGAUGGUGUGAGUACGCAUCGAAAGCAGUGGGAGAUGGUCAGCGAAUAAGUAGAGUGAGUAAACGCCUAAAUUCCCUGCGCAGGGUGACAAAAGCUCGAGAAUAUUAUAGCGUGUUUACACAGUUUCCCACCCGCACUUGUUAGGGCCCUGAACCGGCAUUAGAAAUGUAGAAUAAGUAAAUUAAGAGUAGGAUGUUAGUUUGUAAAA
Molecule: long non-coding RNA, 897 nt
Organism: Topomyia yanbarensis
Lineage: Eukaryota; Metazoa; Arthropoda; Insecta; Diptera; Culicidae
Exons: 3
Source: RefSeq, a predicted model, not a curated record